CCGGCGGUGACAGAGUGGCCAAAUGUACCUGACUGUAAAUCAGGCGGGUUAAUCCCUACGUAGGUUCGAAUCCUACCCGCCGGA
This 84-nucleotide transfer RNA is filed under the name Parcubacteria group bacterium. RNAcentral describes it as "tRNA-Tyr". It matches the Rfam family "tRNA". From Rfam's summary of the family: Transfer RNA (tRNA) molecules are approximately 80 nucleotides in length. Their secondary structure includes four short double-helical elements and three loops (D, anti-codon, and T loops). The record is from RNAcentral.